Non-coding RNA from Gopherus flavomarginatus (Mexican gopher tortoise), 467 nucleotides. The record is from the annotation of a RefSeq genome assembly. Lineage: Eukaryota; Metazoa; Chordata; Testudines; Testudinidae.
AACAUCUGAAAGAGUCAAACUCGGUCGCUAUGGGAGACAUCAUGAACAAGGGUUUGAUUCUCUCUAUUUGGAUAUUCAAUCACCUAGGUCCUGCUCUGGGUGACUCGGUCCAGUCCAGGGAGCCUGAAGUUUCUAAAUCAGAAGGAAACAUUGUGUCGCUCAGUUGUUCCUAUGAUACCAGCUCUAGUGAUAUCUAUCUGUUCUGGUACCGUCAGUAUCAGCACCAAGCCCCGCAGUACAUUCUCCGGAGAGGAGCGAAGUCCUACAGAGAUCUCAGCGAUACUGCAGGUUUCGCCCAGGAGAGGUUUUCUUCCCAGGCUGGUGACAGCUCCACAGUUCUGAACAUCACAGCCCUGGAGCUGGCAGACACAGCGGUGUAUUACUGCGCCCUGCAACGGGCACAGUGGCAGAGCCACGGAGCAGAGCUGUACAAAAUCCCUCCUCUCCUUGCUGCAGACAGACUUUAA